This 483-nucleotide ribosomal RNA is filed under the name Papilio protenor. Its description in RNAcentral is "partial 16S ribosomal RNA". It matches the Rfam family "Bacterial large subunit ribosomal RNA", at positions 1857 to 2597 of the family's 2925-position model. Lineage: Eukaryota; Metazoa; Arthropoda; Insecta; Lepidoptera; Papilionidae. The record is from RNAcentral.
AUCUGCCCACUGAUAAAUUUUAAAGGGCUGCAGUAUUUUGACUGUACAAAGGUAGCAUAAUCAAUAGUCUCUUAAUUGGUGACUUGUAUGAAAGAUUGGAUGAGAUAUAUACUGUCUCUAAUUAAUUUAUAGAAUUUAAUUUUUUAGUAAAAAAGCUAAAAUAAGUUUAAAAGACGAGAAGACCCUAUAGAGUUUAAUAAUUUAUUUAAUUAUUAUUAAUAUAUAAUUUUUAAAAUUAAAAUUAAAUAGAUUAUUUUGUUGGGGUGAUAGAAAAAUUAAAUUAACUUUUUUUUGUUAUUUACAUUAAUUUAUGAUUAAGUGAUCCAUUUAUAAUGAUUAAAAGAAAAAAUUACCUUAGGGAUAACAGCGUAAUUUUUUUUUUUAGUUCAAAUAGGAAAAAAAGUUUGCGACCUCGAUGUUGGAUUAAGAUAAAAUUUAAAUGCAAAAGUUUAAAAUUUUGAUCUGUUCGAUCAUUAAAAUCUU